AGAGGCUGCGUGUCUGCUAAAUGCAGAGCCACGACGCUCACCUCCAAUUUCCGAAGCAAUUUUGAGAAAGCCUUUAUUAAACGCAAGCAAAUACUGCAAUAAUCGUUACAAAGACGCCGCAACUGUAGAAUAUGAGCCGAAUUACAGUUCUGACUACAGCAUUGAAAAAUGCUAUUUGGUGUGCAUGACAAUUGAUUAUAGUGGCACAAAAGAAUACAACAUACUUCCCGCACCUGAUUACAUACCUUGUAGCGAAACGAGCAAGCACGUGUGCAUUAAAGGCAUAUGUAGAGAUAUCCCUCCGAAAGGAAAGCCCUUUCACCAACAAGUAAAGGAACUUGCCAAUCGCCAACUCAUCUCAGAUCUAGCGAUUGAUGAAUAAAGACUGCCAUCACAUCUAGUGGCCAUUUCGAUCUAGUGGCCAUUUCGAGCCCGCUAUAACAUAGAGGCGAGAAGAGGCGUAGCGCCGAAGGUAAAUGUUAAGUGCAUAUGUACGCCUGAAUUUUGCUGCCUACGAUUUACCAUGCUAGGCGCCGUAGUAAUGCGCAGCACUUAUUUUUCAAGAGGUUCGGUUUCAACAUUUCUUCCUUUAACUUGUGCUAUUAUGCCUACCGCUUCAUGGAUAUGUCGCAGAGCAUAUAGUGGUUCUAAAUUGGGGAAUAGGUAGGUUGACGAAUGCAUUCUUCUGUAAAAAACAGUGCCUGUUGACCGCUGAAACCACAGUUACCAGGCAGGAAAAUCUAGUGACCAUGCUGCUAGACUCUCCCAACACUAGCGACCGACACCAAAGCUGCGGUAGGGAUGGUUAUCCUAGAAGAUUACAUGUAUCUAUUCACAUUCUCUUCUCUUAAAGCAUGCGCAAUUGUCGCGAUUAUUGUGAGCACAAAUUACAUGCAGCCGUUUACCUAUGAGUGUAGUUGUUUACUACAUCUUCUGUUUCUGCGAUAGUCUUAGCGAUAGUGUUAACAUACUGGAGGCUCAAAAUUGGGUUUUGAAGUCUUGUUACCAUGGUCGCACUGUUCUUUUUUUUUUUUUGAGAGUACGGGGAAUGUCCACAAACGUUACAGCUAUGGUCAAGAUUAUUGACACCUGUUUUAAACAGACACUAAAAGGAAAUAUUUAGUCGAGCUAAAGUGAUAGGUUAGUGCUCGAGAAUCUCUAGGGCAUCAAAAUUAUCGCGACCAGGUGUAAGUAACCGAGAAAUUGAGGUAUAUACCGGGCCUGAUUAGAGACUCCCCUGUGACAUUCAAGUACUUGCCUGAUGACGAAAGCACUCCUCAGUUGAUAUCUGUCAUUUGUACUCAACCACUGGUUGCAAAACAUAUUCUUGUAUUAUCAGAGGAAAUAAAAUUCUUCUUAUCCAGUUCUAUUUCAACUUUAGAAGCAAGAACUCAUUGAAAUUACCCUUGACAACAACGCGUGCGGUCGAAACGUCUCGU
Dermacentor andersoni is the source of this 1439-nucleotide non-coding RNA. NCBI's taxonomy places the organism in Eukaryota, Metazoa, Arthropoda, Arachnida, Ixodida, Ixodidae. The record is from RefSeq and is a predicted model, not a curated record.